GAACACCCAGUUAAAUUUGAAUUUCAGAGAAAUGACAAGUAAUUUUUAAUAUAAGUAUGUUUUAUGCAAUAUUUGGGACAUACUUAUACUGAAAAAUUAUUUAUCUGAUAGUCACAUUUAACUAGAUGUC
RNAcentral lists this microRNA precursor (130 nucleotides) under Chlorocebus sabaeus (green monkey). RNAcentral's name for it is "miRNA (ENSCSAG00000021325.1)". The stretch from base 43 to 94 matches the Rfam family "mir-1302 microRNA precursor family". The record is from RNAcentral. Lineage: Eukaryota; Metazoa; Chordata; Mammalia; Primates; Cercopithecidae.